RNAcentral lists this unclassified non-coding RNA (343 nucleotides) under soil metagenome. RNAcentral's name for it is "partial contains 5.8S ribosomal RNA, internal transcribed spacer 2, and large subunit ribosomal RNA". The stretch from base 1 to 120 matches the Rfam family "5.8S ribosomal RNA", at positions 35 to 154 of the family's 154-position model. The record is from RNAcentral.
GAUGAAGAACGCAGCGAAAUGCGAUAAGUAGUGUGAAUUGCAGAAUUCAGUGAAUCAUCGAAUCUUUGAACGCACAUUGCGCCCUUUGGUAUUCCAAAGGGCAUGCCUGUUCGAGCGUCAUUUGUACCCUCAAGCUUUGCUUGGUGUUGAGCGUCUUGUCUCUAGCUUUGCUGGAGACUCGCCUUAAAGUAAUUGGCAGCCGGCCUACUGGUUUCGGAGCGCAGCACAAGUCGCACUCUCUAUCAGCAAAGGUCUAGCAUCCAUUAAGCCUUUUUUUUUCAACUUUUGACCUCGGAUCAGGUAGGGAUACCCGCUGAACUUAAGCAUAUCAAUAAGCGGAGGA